This 251-nucleotide ribosomal RNA is filed under the name uncultured prokaryote. Its description in RNAcentral is "partial 16S rRNA". It matches the Rfam family "Bacterial small subunit ribosomal RNA", at positions 525 to 775 of the family's 1533-position model. The record is from RNAcentral.
AAGGGGGGUGCAAGCGUUGUUAGGAAUAAUUGGGCGUAAAGCGAGUGUAGGCGGCUUGACAAGUCAGAUGUGAAAUCCCUGGGCUUAACUAAGGAAGUGCAUUUGAAACUGUCAGGCUAGAGUAAGGGAGAGGAAAGUGGAAUUCCUGGUGUAGAGGUGAAAUUCGUAGAUAUCAGGAGGAACACCGGUGGCGAAGGCGACUUUCUGGCCCUAUACUGACGCUGAGACGCGAAAGCGUGGGUAGCAAACAG